This 856-nucleotide ribosomal RNA is filed under the name Colletotrichum gloeosporioides. RNAcentral's name for it is "eukaryotic LSU rRNA". It matches the Rfam family "Eukaryotic large subunit ribosomal RNA", at positions 47 to 934 of the family's 3401-position model. The record is from RNAcentral. Lineage: Eukaryota; Fungi; Ascomycota; Sordariomycetes; Glomerellales; Glomerellaceae.
UAAGCGGAGGAAAAGAAACCAACAGGGAUUGCCUCAGUAACGGCGAGUGAAGCGGCAACAGCUCAAAUUUGAAAUCUGGCCCUAGGCCCGAGUUGUAAUUUGCAGAGGAUGCUUUUGGUGCGGUGCCUUCCAAGUUCCCUAGAACGGGACGCCAGAGAGGGUGAGAGCCCCGUACAGUUGGACACCAAGCCUUUGUAAAGCUCCUUCGACGAGUCGAGUAGUUUGGGAAUGCUGCUCAAAAUGGGAGGUAUAUUUCUUCUAAAGCUAAAUACCGGCCAGAGACCGAUAGCGCACAAGUAGAGUGAUCGAAAGAUGAAAAGCACUUUGAAAAGAGGGUUAAACAGCACGUGAAAUUGUUAAAAGGGAAGCGCUUGUGACCAGACUUGCGUCCGGUGAAUCACCCAGCUCUCGCGGCUGGGGCACUUCGCCGGCUCAGGCCAGCAUCAGCUCGCUGUCGGGGACAAAAGCUUCAGGAACGUAGCUCUCUUCGGGGAGUGUUAUAGCCUGUUGCAUAAUACCCUUCGGCGGGCUGAGGUACGCGCUCCGCAAGGAUGCUGGCAUAAUGGUCAUCAGCGACCCGUCUUGAAACACGGACCAAGGAGUCAACCUUAUGUGCGAGUGUUCGGGUGUCAAACCCCUACGCGUAAUGAAAGUGAACGCAGGUGAGAGCUUCGGCGCAUCAUCGACCGAUCCUGAUGUUCUCGGAUGGAUUUGAGUAAGAGCAUAUAGGGUUGGACCCGAAAGAAGGUGAACUAUGCGUGUAUAGGGUGAAGCCAGAGGAAACUCUGGUGGAGGCUCGCAGCGGUUCUGACGUGCAAAUCGAUCGUCAAAUAUGCGCAUGGGGGCGAAAGACUAA